UAUAUAUUCUGAAUUUGGCCUUCUAGCCACCUGAAGAGCUUCGGUACCCAGGAUACAAGGGUUGUAUUGAGUUUUCUAUGUUAAAUGAUCGUAUCCUUAGCUUGUACAACUUUCAGCGUGCCAUCAACAUCACAAAAACUGACACGUGUCAAAGGGGAAAAGUUCACAUGUUGGGGGAUUAUUUCGAUGGCACAGGUUACGGAAAGGUUGCUGUAUCACGUGGGAACUCUGUUAUUAAGUUCCUUGUUAGGAGUCAUCAAAUGGAUGCAGUGCUUUUUUAUGUGGGAAGCGAGACCAUGCACUUCUUAGUUACAUUUGAAGGAGGCUAUAUUGUUUUGAAAGGAAAAAACAAUUACACAAAAAUUUUUGAAAAGUCAAAAUUAAAAGUAUUUCCCCUAACAAACUUCAUCCAUAUCAAAAUUAUUCUGAAUGACGAUAGACCAGCAACAAUAACCGACAACAUCAACAUUUUUUUUGGAAAAGUCAAAGGGUUUUUUGAGGAGGCCUACAUCGGGGGUGUUCCAGCUGCAGUCCGGGAAAAGUACUUUUAUUCUCUUUUAUGUUUGUUUAUUGGUGCACUUCUUCUGCUUUGCAUGAUUAUGGUUAAGGACAGAGGAAAAAGUGACCCAGACAUGUUUUCAUAA
Molecule: long non-coding RNA, 644 nt
Filed under: Sinocyclocheilus grahami
Lineage: Eukaryota; Metazoa; Chordata; Actinopteri; Cypriniformes; Cyprinidae
Description: lncRNA (ENSSGRG00000000579.1)
Source: RNAcentral